GAGGGCGCCGGAGCCGGGCAGGGCGGAGAGAUGCGCCAGCGGACUUCUAUUUGGAACUGAGUCCGACAGCUCAGGACUGGCUGCUCAAACUCCACAAUUUAAUGAAAAAUCUCAGAUGAUGACUCAGAAAACCUCUAAUGAUCUGAGGAAUAUAUUAAGGGAUUCCAGAGUCAAAGGCUGAUCAUGGAGGGCAUUGAUGAGGGAAGACUUCAGCACGUUUUUCAGCACCAGGACAAGCAUCAUUGCUCAAGGAGAGCUUGGUUGACAACAGGAAGUUAGAAGGAGUCUGAAUUGUAACAAGUGUGGCAAGAGCACCAAGAUCACUGUGUGUGUGUGUUCACAGAAAAUGUACCAAAGGGAGAAGCCUUAAAAACAAAUGGCAGGUGUGGGCACCAGAAAAUCAACACAUCGGGAAGAGAAAAAUGGCAUGGUUUUACUGUAAUUGUAAAAAGACGCCCUAAAGAGUGUCUAUCGGAUCACCCUCAAGUUGGGUCAAACGGCUCCUCUUCUCGGCUU
This is a long non-coding RNA of Homo sapiens (human), 516 nucleotides long. Ensembl annotates it as PAQR9 antisense RNA 1. Its record names the gene PAQR9-AS1. The record is from Ensembl. NCBI's taxonomy places the organism in Eukaryota, Metazoa, Chordata, Mammalia, Primates, Hominidae.